Long non-coding RNA from Megalobrama amblycephala (Wuchang bream), 4317 nucleotides. RefSeq lists it as uncharacterized. NCBI's taxonomy places the organism in Eukaryota, Metazoa, Chordata, Actinopteri, Cypriniformes, Xenocyprididae. The record is from RefSeq and is a predicted model, not a curated record. The transcript has 4 exons.
AACCGCCCAGCAACUGGGCAAACAUUUAACCCAACUGCUGGGUUAAUGCAACCCAGCCAAUGGGUUUGUCCAUUUUCAAACCAACUGGGGUUGUUUUUAACCCAGCAUUUUUUUUAAGAGUGUAUUAUCUCAAGUGCUAUAGGCUCUCCCAUAAAAUUUGUCUUUAGAAUUGCGGCCAGAAUAUUAUACAGAAUAUUAAAAAAAAAAAAAAAAAAAAGAUGAUGAUGAUGAUUGUUAGUCCAUGGUUUAGGUCAUUAAAUGUGACAACAAAGAUGUUUAGUUGAUUUGAUGCAAAUCUUUUGUGUAUGUUAUGUUGUUUUGGUCAUAUCAGUUGUUUUCAUUUUUGCACUAAUCCGUUUUAAUUUGUUAGUUAAAACCCUUCAAUAUACGUAGGUGUUUUUGAAAAUGGAAAAAUCUGUCCUUGAUCUGUUUUAAUUAGUUUGAUGUUGUAUAGCUCUGAACGCAAGUAAAAUUGGUACAAAUGUUUUUUUUUUUUUUGCAUCAUGCAUAUGCUACAAGCAGUGCACUGCCACAAAACUAUAUUGUUCCCAUUAUGAUACAAAAUGGUCUACAAUUCGACUGCACUGUUGCCUGUUGUUUGUUGAUAUUGAUUACACUGGGAGUAAUCUAGUUUUGUCACAUCAUGCUUCUUGCUUGCAGUGUUACAUUCAUGCCUUUCUUGGAUGGAAAUGGAGGUAAUCCAGCUUUUGUUAAAUAAAUACUGUAUAUCAACUUUUUGUCUGUGAAUUAUAACAAUGUGAAGUUGCCUAUACCUUUUUACCAGUCUUUGGAUUGAAGGGUGGGUUCACACAAAAAAAAAUCAUUAAGUCAUUAAUUACCGCCAUGUCGUUCCAAACCUGUAAGACCUUCAGAACACAAAUUAAGAUAUUUUUGAUGAUUUCUUGAUUUCUUAUCUGUCCUGUCAUUCUCCUAUGAUGUUUACUUUCAGCACUUUCAGGUUCUACAUCAGAACGUAGCUCAGUUUUGGCCGACGCUGUACACGUGAGCAGCACGACGCAUGCGUGUGAUGCUGACGCAGGAGCCGGCCAAUACUGAGUCGGCAUUCUGACGUAGAACCUGGAAGCGCUGAAUGUAAACAACAUAGGAGAAUGACAGGAAAGUGAAGAAAUUGUUGAAUAAAGUUAUUUUUUGUGUUGUUUUUGCACACAAAAAGUAUUCUCGUCGCAGUUGUUAUAACUGCGAACAUUAAAGGCCAGAGUCAGAUCAUGUUCUCAGAGUUUUCAGUGCAAGAAGUCUGGCUAGACUGACGCAAAACAAACUAUAUUGUGCACAACUAGAUCAUUCCUAUUAUUAUCAACAAAACGUAAUCUGAAAAUGUUCAAUGCAACACACAGGCUGAUGCCCCAUUCAUGUUGCAUCGGACAGUUGCUCCAUGCAGUGUCCUUCUAAAAUAAUUUUUAUUUACAAUAUUAUAGGUGUAAAUUGAUAGUCAAUAAUUUCAUUCAUUAUUAGACCUACAUAAUCUCUGACUGUUGCAUUAAAAGCAGCUCUGUUCGAGUAAAUCUGUUGGAUGAUGUUCUCAAAACUUGUAACACUCACCAACAAACAUCUUACCGAGCACCAUUUUAGUGCAAAAGGGGUAAAUUAUGUCUGCUGUUCAACCUCAGAUAUAAUUUCUCCUCCUCUAAAAAAAAGUCUCACCCCAUUUCUCCAUCUUAAGGUGUUCACCUGAUUGGCUUGUUUGAAGAAAGUGUUUUUUGUCCCAUCAUUGUCUGAAACAGAAUGAAUAAAAGUGUCAACUGAACAGAUGGUGUUGCAUUUUUUUAUGUUAUUUUUUCUUGCUUCAUUUUUCUGCCUUUUCUGAACAUCUGAAGCAGAGAUUUGUGGGGAAACUUACCAUUUUGAUCAACAUGGUUACAAAACACUAGAACCUGGGCCAGUUCACGGCCAUUAUGAUGAUCGCUCUGGAACAAAUGUUUGCUAUCAUCCGUGGUUGUUUCCAUAAGCUUACUUAAUUAUACCAUUUGCUUUUUUUUUUUUUUUUUUUUUACAGCUCUCACUUUUCUUUUCAUGUUUUUCUUUUCUUUUUUUCUUUUUUUGAAGAGAUUAAAGUUUCAAAUGAAGAGAUCCAUCAUAAUCUCUCCAACUGGAUUUUUUUAAUUUACAUUUUUAUGAUUCUUUUUCAUUUUCUUGUUUAGUUUUCAUUAAUCUUUUCUUAUAAAUACUAUCCUGAAGUUCCUUUGGUAAUUUAGUUGGGAAAUUAUUCUUCAUGCGUUCACCACAUGGUGGCGAUAAUGGCUUGUAUUGAUGACAGUGUAUUUUGAUUUAUGGAACGUUCCUUCCCACUAUAGUGGUAGGGACAGUUAAUCAACCACUCACCUAUAUUAUAUUCCUUCAUUAUGCCUGCUGACACUUACCUACUUCCUGUUGUCUGAGUCUAUUGCAGGAAGUGAGCUCAGCAGACAGGGUGUGUGUGUGGGGGCAAGACUUGAAGUAUUACUGUGUGGAAUUCCCCCUCUUUCCCAAGGGUGAGGAAUUCCAGAUCAGCGCACACUUCAGGCAGAAACAAGGAUGAAGGAGAAUGUACAGAAAUUUCACCUGAAGCUAUUCCAAUCAGCGGCCUCGACUGCCUCUGGAGCCACCUCGUAAACAAGGUCUCUGGCUACGCCUGUGCUGGAGUGAACUUUCUCUCAGGUAGCAUGGGCCUCUGGAGGAACACAUUGCAUAAUCCUUUCCCCGCCGAUGGAAAAAAAGAAUGCCUGAAGUAUGAGAUGGAGGGACUAAUUAUUCUGCAAUAUCACACUGGAAUCUGCACUGAAGCAGGGUCGGCGCGAACGUGGCCUUGAUUUCCCAGCAACUGAACAAGGUUGGAUUCAGUGCAUCACUUAAAGAGGACCUGCUCCGUGUGCAUCUCUGUAAGAGGUCAGGUACAUCAAAAAGGACAUGUUAACACACUGUCUAGAUACAGCCCAAAAAAAGCAAAGAAGCAUUUCAACUAUUUGUGGAGAGCUUUCAGAAUGGAAGUGGAACAAUACGAUAGCCCGAGGGGAAAAUAAGUGAUCAUGCUGGUAUGUUUAGAUUAGACAGAAAGGAAGCCAUCAUUGUCAUUGUCAGAUUUCAGUUUUUUUUUUUUUAUACUUCGCUGAGCUUUGACAUUCUAUCCUGGUCUAAUCAGUUAGAACCUAAACCACUGUCUCUAUCUCUCUCAAGCUAUUCUCUUGAUGAUAUGUGUAGUGUGAAAGUUUGCAUAAUAUAUAUCCACUUUUUUUGAAAACUUCCUCUCUUACAUCAUUACGUUUUAAUGGGGGGCGUAAGACGUUGCGACGGUUGUGGGUUGCGAUGUGUGCUGCUUGAUUCAUGAAGUGGUAAAGACUGAGCUGCCAGUUUUGAGAGAGGAGGCCAAGCUUUAUUAAUAAGAGACAAGGCGCUCUUCCCUUAACAUGUGCCAACAUGCGAGUGCAUUACCUCCUCGGCUGGCUAUGGCAGAGAUGUGAGUUGCAUUCCACUACCCACAAAAACCCUUGUCUCAGAGCACAGAGAGGCAUUAGAGAGAAGGGCCAGUUUUCAUUUCAAGUUUUAAUAGCUUGUCAUUGGUUUCUUAGAAGCUGCUGUGUGGUUAGUUUGUGGUUUCUCUGUGGUUACUCUUGGAAAACUAUAUGAAUCAUGGGUCUUUGUUAAUAGCCGAGAGACUCUUUCUCAAUCUUGAUCUACUAACUGCCAGUCCAAGAGUAGGGCUCAACAAUAAGGAUGGCUCGAUAACACAGGGCCAGUGUGAAAGAGUUUUGGGUCAUUUAGAAACUGGCAUCACUCUAUUGGUUCUUAACUACAUCUUAAGUUUGGGUUUUAAUGCCUUGCAAUCUUAAACAUUUAUUUUUUUUUCCCUAUUAUAUUUUGAAUAUUGUUGUUGAUCAUUCUGUUGUAUUUAAUAUGUCACUAACAGGGCUUGACAUUAACACCCGCCAGUUAGAAUUUUAUAUAUAACAUAUGCAUUUUUAAAUUGUAGUCUUUUAAAAAGACAUCUGAAAUAAUAAACUAAGUGCAAUGUAGUGUCAGAAAUUUCAAUUUUAAGAUACUUAUCGGUACUGGAAAAUCUAAACUGCUUCCAAUACUCAUUUUCUGCAGAAUAGGCCUACAUGAUAGCUGCGCUUUCUCGCUUUCUUAUCUCUCCGACAGCGAGUUGACGCACAAACCCGCCUCCCCUCACUCACUCAUUUUAUUUGCUCUGGAUGAAUAUUGUUGGUUGAAUUUCAGUGUAGGAUUAUGUGUAUUGCGCAUAAUUUUACUCAUUCCCGCAAAUUUUCUGCUCACACCCAAAGUGCACGCACAUAAAGCCGCCUCUCAGUACUAAAUUUAGUU